RNAcentral lists this ribosomal RNA (267 nucleotides) under Nanos sp. 1 HKW-2010. RNAcentral's name for it is "partial 28S ribosomal RNA". It matches the Rfam family "Eukaryotic large subunit ribosomal RNA", at positions 688 to 921 of the family's 3401-position model. The record is from RNAcentral. Lineage: Eukaryota; Metazoa; Arthropoda; Insecta; Coleoptera; Scarabaeidae.
GAGUCAUUGGGACUCUGUUAAACCUAAAGGCGCAAUGAAAGUAAAGGUCCGCCUCGCGCGGACCGAGGGAGGAUGGGCCCGUCCGCGGGCGGGCCCCGCACUCCCGGGGCGUCUCGUUCUCAUCGCGAGAAGAGGCGCACCCAGAGCGUACACGCUGGGACCCGAAAGAUGGUGAACUAUGCCUGGUCAGGACGAAGUCAGGGGAAACCCUGAUGGAGGUCCGUAGCGAUUCUGACGUGCAAAUCGAUCGUCGGAACUGGGUAUAGG